UACAUUAGCAUGGGAUAAUGGAAUAGGACCCUGACCUCCUAUUUUCAGUUGGUUUUGUUUACAGCGAGGUUAUAUCAGGGUAAUGAUUAAUAGGGAUAGUUGGGGGCAUUAAUAUUUAAUUGUCAGAGGUGAAAUUCUUGGAUUUAUGAAAGAUUAACUUCUGCGAAAGCGUUUGCCAAGGAUGUUUUCAUUAAUCAAGAACGAAAGUUAGGGGAUCGAAGACGAUCAGAUACCGUCGUAGUCUUAACCAUAAACGAUGCCGACCAGCGAUUAGGAGACGUUGAAUACAAAACACCGCUGUUAAUCCUUUCGGGGGUUAAUAGUUGGUGAAUGACUCCCUAGCAGCUUGUGAGA
Molecule: ribosomal RNA, 354 nt
Filed under: Acanthamoeba lenticulata
Lineage: Eukaryota; Discosea; Longamoebia; Acanthamoebidae
Description: SSU rRNA
Rfam family: Eukaryotic small subunit ribosomal RNA
Source: RNAcentral